CCCUGAGUACGGAAUAACUGAGGGAAACUUCAGCUAAUACCGUAUGAGCCCCGAGAGGGGGAAAGAUUUAUCGGCCUUGGGAGCGGCCCGCGUCGGAUUAGCUAGUUGUGGGUAACGGCCUACCAAGGCUUCGAUCCGUAGCUGGUCUGAGAGGACGAUCAGCCACACUGGGACUGAGACACGGCCCAGACUCCUACGGGAGGCAGCAGUGGGGAAUCUUGCGCAAUGGGGCAACCCUGACGCAGCCAUGCCGCGUGAACGAUGAAGGCCUUAGGGUUGUAAAGUUCUUUACCCGUGACGAUGAUGACGGUAACGGGGGAAUAAGCUCCGGCUAACUUCGUG
Molecule: ribosomal RNA, 342 nt
Filed under: uncultured bacterium
Lineage: Bacteria
Description: bacterial SSU rRNA
Rfam family: Bacterial small subunit ribosomal RNA
Source: RNAcentral